Rattus norvegicus (Norway rat) is the source of this 156-nucleotide small nuclear RNA. Ensembl annotates it as U1 spliceosomal RNA. The record is from Ensembl. Lineage: Eukaryota; Metazoa; Chordata; Mammalia; Rodentia; Muridae.
GUUUUUACCUGGCAGGCGAGAUUCCGUGAUCCAGAAGGUGGCUGUACCAGGGGGAAGCUUACCAGUUGCGCUCCAUGUGUGCCGAGCCCUGCCGCUUCCCCAAAUACCGAACACAUCGUUCGUGGUAUUAGGGACCUGUGUUCGUGCUUUCCUCUC